GCUGCCCGCCGGGGCCGCGCUGAGAGACGCGCCAACAGGGCGCUCUGCGGAGACGCGUGCAGCCGUGGGAACACGCGAGCCCACGAGUCAUUCCAGAGUCUGAUUUACUAGAGACAGUGCUCAUUCUGCUAAACUUCUGCGUGCUGCAAAACCGCUUUGUGGCAGAUCAAUGCUGGAGGCUUAGAAACAAGAGGAGAGUGUCACCAGGAAACAAAUAUCUCCAAGGAAAAGUCAGUUAAUCAAGGAAAAGCAACCACGUUGUUGUUUGUUUGGAGAGGAAUCCAUGAAAUUCCUUGACCACCACUGUUCUUGAUGGUUCCCUGAACAAACUGUGGCCUGUGUCCUCACUCUGACCCUCCCCCUCACGUGGUGCUGGGGGAGCAGUGCCCAUCGCCAGCAGAACUGCUCCUGCUCUCCUUGGUGCCCUGUGACCUGCCACGCGUCGGUGGGACAACAAACAGCCCUUCUCUAGUUAGAGCACGCACCAGGACGGCAGAGGCCAGAAUCACCCUGCGGAGUCACUGCUCUUCCACGCGCUUCACCUGCUGCGGAAGGACAGACGGCUGUUCUCCUGCCACAGCGCGGGGGCUGCCCCGGGACGUGCUCAGCAAGACCGGCCGCCCUGCAGCUCGUGGGACUCACAGGCAAGCGCAGCACGGUGAGGUGGCGGGUUGACGUCGCGGGUGGCAGGGCACAUGCUGGGGCACAUGCUGGAAACCCCACACGGCAUUGCUGCGGGGUCAGGGCUCCUCCUGGCAGCACUGAUGCCCCCCCACUCUGCUUUGUCAGCAUCGCGGAUCGGGGGUUAUGGACAGAGAAGUAGGAAGUAGAAAGUGAGUUUCGAACAACUCCUGUAAGUUGUUGUGAAAGCCAACUGAAUUCUCAUUGUCACGGGAAGAUCGGGAGUACCAGUACUAGUGCCAUCCAUUGUUUUCUUCCUGUCCUCUGGGAACUUACCCUUUUUGUGUCUCUGUUCUGCUGUUAAGUCAUUAUGCCAGCACUUCUCUGCACUCUUAGAGCUAUUUUAAUUAACUUCAAAAAAUCUGUACCCAAAAUGUGCUUUAAUAAUACCUGAACGUAAUAUGAUUUUUUUUCCCCUGGCAAAAAAAUAAGGUAUAUUUUCACAAUGUUAGACCCCAUUCUCUUGCCACAUACCAAGGCCAACACAAAACCCAGCAUCCCUUUCUCAGUAGCUGCCUGUCCUGGUACAAUAGACAUUACCUGGUUGACUGUCUCCUCCUCCCCUCACCCAUAAUGAAAUUUCUGGAGGACAGAAACAUAUUGACAAACAAUAUGUUGGUAAUAGUGAUGUUCACCUGGAGUGCUGGCCAGAUUCACAGUACUCCAGUUCCCUGACCACCACGUCCCAAACCGUGACAGUAGGAAUGGUCCAUCUGUGAGACACUGGAUGGAAACCUGGAGUCACUUCAGAGCCUUUUGGACGCCAGACCCACCCAGGAGUGAUUAGUCAGUAACCGCAGGCACCGCCAGGCUCGAUGGCAGAGCACCCUUCUCCAAGGACAGAUAGCUUCAAAAGCGUGGUGGCCACCAGCAGCUCCCAGCAGGUAGAAGAGACACAGCAGAUGGCAGAGGAAAGAGGCUGGACCCUGCUCCUGUUAAUAACCCAUCCUCCUCGACAUCACAGUGCAUCGAGCGAGAUUAAUCCAAACUGCAUUAUCUCCUGGAAUUCAUAUUCCUCCGAUAGAAGUGAUGAUGGAAUCAGUUGCCUGGCUGAGCUGAACAUUAUUUAUCUGCACUUGAUCUUUCCAAGGCCACUGACAGAUAGAUAGAUGGAAAAACGUUUAUUCUCUCUGUGGUUUGUGUCAUUUUCAUGUAAUGUCAUCUGAUCCCCCAGAUGUCUCUCACAUUUAAAUGAGAUUUAUGCAAGAGUAGAAUAAAGCUGAUGAAAAUCACAAA
Columba livia (rock pigeon) is the source of this 1917-nucleotide long non-coding RNA. RefSeq lists it as uncharacterized. The transcript has 4 exons. NCBI's taxonomy places the organism in Eukaryota, Metazoa, Chordata, Aves, Columbiformes, Columbidae. The record is from RefSeq and is a predicted model, not a curated record.